AUCUAAUCACUUAUUCCUUCAUGCGUUUGCUUCGAUCUCGAUCUCACUAAAUUUCAAUCUCAAUCUGGCUCUUGUUCGAUCUGCUCUCGCUCUCUUCUCGAUCUCGUUCUAGCUCGAUCUCGAUUCUCGAUAUCUUUCUGUCGUUGUCGCCGUCGUCCUACAGGUAGGUCAUCCUUUGAUCCUCAAUGUGUUUAUUUAUGUUACGAAUUCGUGGCCAACCCCUAAUUUAGUGUUUUUUAAUUCCAAAAUAUGUUAAUAUAUGCAUUGAUUUUAAUUAUAAAUUAUGAUUACUGCAGUUGAUUUUCAGGAAAUUAAAUUCCCUAUGUUUAGCACUAUGGAAUUCAAACAAAUUUUAGUCUAAGACUUCUGAUCUCUCUGUUUUUCAUUCCUCAAUUCUUUCAAGGGCUUCGAUUCACUUUUUUUGGGGGAGAUUUUCUAGGGCUUCUUACUCUGAAACUAUUGGAGGAUGUGGUUUUGAUUCUUCGAAUAAAGUUCAAGGAAUUG
Non-coding RNA from Arachis ipaensis, 504 nucleotides. Lineage: Eukaryota; Viridiplantae; Streptophyta; Magnoliopsida; Fabales; Fabaceae. The record is from RefSeq and is a predicted model, not a curated record.